This is a non-coding RNA of Paramuricea clavata, 299 nucleotides long. The record is from the annotation of a GenBank genome assembly. Lineage: Eukaryota; Metazoa; Cnidaria; Anthozoa; Malacalcyonacea; Plexauridae.
GCGUUGCUCGCGUUUGAUGGCGUCGUGAUUACACUUGCUGACUGGCGCUUGCGCAUAAAAAAUCUCGGACGUAAUUUUGCUCAAGUGAGGCUUCUGGUCUAUUUUCUAUUUUGCGGCUCUACCGAAAGUUGUGUUUUUUGCGGGUACUCCGGUCCUCCCCACAGCGAAUGGUAACGGAGUAGCUAGGAUAAGCCCCAAAUAUUGACCCUAUACUAACGUAGCUGUGCUUGCUUGCUCGAUGACAUAUCAGGCUAAUCUGUAUUUCAGCGAAUUGUCGUUAGGGUUUGUAAGGGAUAAGG